CAACAUUUGUUCGUUGUUUUACCAUUAUGAUGACAGAGGGCGCGCGCUACAUCGAAUCUUUUGGGAAACAGACUAUAGAAUCAAUCGGAUCACGCGCUCGUCCUUUUCCGUAACCGGUAAGAAGACUCGGACGUGGAUCGGCGCAAGAAUAGCAUCAAAUCGAUGCAUUUCUUCGCCGGAAGCGUGACUGUGGAUGAGGUUAAAAGGCCAAAACCGAAUCCCUGAAUAAUGUGUUAUUUAUAUUUUCACCACAGAUUCUGUUUUGGUAUCAUUAACGUCUUAUUCACUCUAAUACAUGAACAUGUAAGUGGAAAUUAAUAGUGGUACAAUACCUUAGAUGUGUAUAAUAUCUUAUAUGCAUUUGAAAGCUCACGUUUCAAAGUGUAACGUACGACUGUGGCGUCAUAGUUACGUUUCUGUAUACGUAGCAACCAACUCUGAUGGCGUAGAUCCACAUACGAGGUUCAUUUGCGGUUACGGAAAUAGCCGAGCAGUUACGAUUGACUAUAGAAUCAUAUUGGAGGACCAGUUUAUGUGACAUUCCCUCGGAACUAUUAUUUUCCCGGCCUUUCGAAGUCCGAGACAUUUCAGGAACUUACCGGAACCUAUGGGAUGUAUGCGACCACAAGCAGCACCAACCAAAGGAUCUUUUUUCAUCCGAUCAAUCAAACGGGCAACGGCCUCAGGAUUGAAAUCGACGUCACCGUCUAACGCCAGUACAAAGAUGUACAAAGUCAGUAGACAGCAUGAAACAAAUCCAGUGCAUCCUGAAGCAAUCAGCAGCCAUAUUUCAUCUGUGGACGUUCCUUCUAACUUCCACAAGGGUUGGACUAUAUUGCAGUCUUGUGCCGUCCAGUCCAGA
Ostrea edulis (European flat oyster) is the source of this 862-nucleotide long non-coding RNA. RefSeq lists it as uncharacterized. The transcript is spliced from 3 exons. NCBI's taxonomy places the organism in Eukaryota, Metazoa, Mollusca, Bivalvia, Ostreida, Ostreidae. The record is from RefSeq and is a predicted model, not a curated record.